CUGUUGAGGGAUCCCUGGUGCUCUACAAAUUCUUCUAUUGCAUCUUUCCUCACUAUGUGUCCUGAGUGCAAGGGCCUUCUUCUAUAGCUGCUGAAAUUCAACUUUGCUGUAGGGGUUCGCCUCAGAUAGCUCCUCUUCCAUGAGACUUUCUGGAUACUCCACUCUUUGUCCUAAAUCCCCGUCUGGAUGAUGACAAGAGCUUAGGGAUUGGCAGAAGCACAAAGUAGAAAGAGCCUGGCUCCUUGACUCAGUGCGUGGAGGAAAGCUCCUGGCCAGUCAGGAACAUCUGC
This is a long non-coding RNA of Canis lupus familiaris (dog), 290 nucleotides long. RefSeq lists it as uncharacterized. The record is from RefSeq and is a predicted model, not a curated record. Lineage: Eukaryota; Metazoa; Chordata; Mammalia; Carnivora; Canidae. The transcript is spliced from 2 exons.